UCGAGUGCCAGUCGCCUGCUCUGGAUGACCGCAGAGCUGUCUCGCCCGCACUCGACGUCGCGCCUGGAGCCGUCUCGCUCGCUCAGCCGCUGCCGUCGAGUCUCCCAGCGUGUGCAGCCCCACCUCCACGUUGGCUCGUCGUUGAUCGCCCUCGCCAGUGUGAGUCGCCGAUCCGAGCUCGCUUGCAAAGCACCGCGCGCUAGAGCAAGCUGUGUCUUGAGCCUCGCCUCGCCGUUCGCCAUCUUCGCAAGGUGAGAAUCCUGCGUCUACCCCUACGCUAAUUAAUUUCCUACUUAGUUGUGAGUCAUUAAAUUGAAUACUCAAUCAAAUCAAUUUACGAUUUUAAUUAUACGAUUGUAAGUACGUGGUAAUGUGAUUUUAACAACUUAGAUGUUAUAUUUAAUAUCUAUUUAGUGUUUAGUAUAAAAACAACAAUUAGUUAAUGAUUCUCGUGUGUUCGCGUGCUGCUUCACGCGUCACGGUCGUUCACGCAUGUCGCGCGUUGUCCGCACGCUACUCGCCUGUACUGUUUGUACGCUGUAACCGCCCAUUCCGCGCGUGUUGUGUGCUCUGUUCUACGCGUAUUGCGUGUUCUAUCCGCACGACGUUCGUACGUGUUGUUCGUGUGUCGUCGUUCGUGCGAGUCGCGAUUCGCGCGCUUUAAUAAAAUUAUUUAUUAGCCACAAAUUGUUAGCUAUUCCAUAUAUAACAUGUCGUACACCCAUUUCUAUUCGUUUCAGUCGCUUUAACUCGGUAGCAACGCCAAUUUCAUAUUAGUAACGUAUUUUACCAUGUCACAAAUUUUAAUGGUUUAAUUAGUUGUUCAUUCGACACUUAUUAAAUAAAAUGACCCUCUAAUUAAAACUAGUUUAUAGUUUUUAACUCGCGCUUUUAUAAUUAAAUAUUAAGUCGAUGAAUACCAACUCAAACGCUUUUCAGUUAAUACUUGUUUAGUAUCAUCGAGUUACCUGUUAGCGGUUAUUACACGUCGUCGCGUGCCAUUCGCGUGUGUCACGCGUCUUGCCGCGCGUCGUUCGCGCGUAUCUCGCGUGUCGAUCACGUGUGUCGCGCGGCGUCUGUGCGUGUUAAUAAAUUGUUCCCGCCAAUAAUCACUCAUGUUAAUAAGGUUAAUUCGUCUGGUCAUAUAUUUUAGAUAAUUAGCUUAAGGCCCGCUUGGCUAAUAGUUAUUAGAUUAAUAUUCUAACUAGAUUAAAUGUGUAGUGUUCCACAUGGGCUUAGAUAAUAAAUAUUAACAUGGCAAAUAUUAAUUUAACUGCUUUUUAUAUUUAAUAUUUGUUUAGUAUAAACGUGUCACCUAUUUAGUUUUCCUCGCCUUUCGCGCGUGCUGUUCCGCGCGUGGUGGCGUGCUGGUUCGUGCGACGUUCGCGCGCACUUUUUCGCGUGUCGUCAGUGUGCUAUGUCGUGCAUGUCUACACUGUUUGCACGCAGUCGCGUUGGUUUGCGCGUCGUAAAUUCGUCUCGCUUAGAAUCUCUUGUGUUAAUUAAAUUACUUAUUUAUUUGACAGUUGUUAGUGUAGCAGAUUAAUCAAACUAAAUAGUAGAUAUAAUUUAUAAUUGAUAAGGUCGAAUUAAUUAUUAGCGUUAAUACUUGUUUAGCGUAAAUGCGAUAUUUUCCCGACCGUCGCUUCGAGUUCGACAUUUCUUUCCCUCGCGUGACCAUAGAAUCAAGCUCUGUUUUAUGCUGCAUAUUUUUAUACCAUUUUAUCUUGUAUGGUGUAAUGUUCUUAUGCAUUUAUAUAUGUUUGUUUGCUUGUGCUUGUUCGUCUUCGCUUCGUGUUGCGAUUAGAUCGUGAUUUGUUCCCGCGCUUCGAGGAAUCGACGAUCAAGCUUCGACGAUCAAGUGAUCUAGCUCUUCGAGUUCCACGAAGUUGAAGACCCUAAGCAUCUGUUUGGUGAAGGCAAGUGUCCUUUGACCUAUUAUGUCUCAUUUACUUUAUAAUUCAUCAACCCGCAUACCAUGAUCAACCUAAGGAUUGACUAGCUUUGUAUUUACCUUGUCCUUGCUUAUCUUUUGGGUUACUAUGGUUAGCUUCAUGCUAUUGCUUUACUUUAAUCAAUGAACAUGAUGUGAACACUUAUGAUACGAUGUUGUCAUUAUUAUUAUGAUGUUGGACUGGUGAUACUUUAGGGGGCUCGAGUGGUUUCUCGAGUGCCUCUCCGUAAGGACCUAUUCGUUCGAUGACCGCCCGGAAAAACAGUGCAACCAUGAGGGUGGAAUGGGAUGCCCUUAGCUAAUUAGUUAGAGAAACUAGAGAUGUAGUUGCUUCGCCGCCGUGCCGUCAAUGGGGUCCAGGCACAGUGCUUGCUCUGCCGAGGCUGGGUGCCGAGGUUCUUUCAUUUUGCUUUUGUUAGUCACCCCUCUGCGGGGAGUGGUGCUGUGUUUAUCAAACUGGAGAAACCUAACGGGCGGUUAUGACCUCUAGGGAAUCUUUGUAAAGGCUUCGUAGUGAAUCCCUGGCCAUUCACCUUGGGAGUGGAUAAGGGUCUUGCAAGCCCGGGCUAGAGAGGGAAUCACGUCUUGUGGGUAAAGUGUGCAACCUCUGCAGAGUGUUUGAAACUGAUAUAUCAGUCGUGCUCGCGGUUAUGAGCGGCCAAGGGAGCUCCAUUGAUUAGAGACACAUUGGAUCAUGGAUACUUUGUUUACAGGUGAUGAUGAUGAUGAUAAUGCUGGUUUCUAUUGUGAUUAUGAUUAUGGUUUUCUGGUAUUCUUUCCGUUUGGAAAGGGUACUUUUGGGUUAACAACUUGGGUUAAUGCUAAAACCUGGCUCUAUAUUAGUAAUAAUUACCUGACCAACUAAAAGCAACUGCUUGACCCUAACUCCACAUAAAGCUAGUCCACUACAGCCAAACGGGACAUUUGCUGAGUACGUUGAUGUGUACUCACCCUUGCUUUCACAAAACACCAGGUUGCCUUUGGUGCAAUCUAUGCUCAGGUAAAGAAGGUGUCGAGGCGGAUCUCCAGGAGUUCCAGGACUUCGACGAGUCCGAGGAUUAGGCUAGCGACCUCCCCCAGUUAGCUGCCUGUGGUUGGUUGUUUACGUUGGCUACGUUUCGAUUCUGUGUACUUUGAUUUAUAUUAUGUAAAUGGCUCUAGUCUGUAAUAUUAUUACUUACUCUUUAUUGUAAUUCGAAGCAUUGUGCUAUGAUGAGUCAUUUAUGUAAUCGUUGUGUACGUGAAUAACUGAUCCUGGCACGUGCAUGGUUCGCAUUCGGUUUACCUUCUAAAACCGGGUGUGACAUAAGUGGUAUCAAAGUCGUGCUGACUGUAGGACCGUUAACCUAGAGUAGCAUUGGCCGUUUUAAGGACUUACUUAUUUUUACUUCACCUCAUCCUUGAUUCUGUUUCAAAAUAUUAGUCACCUCGACUAAUUUUAUGUUGUGAUCCUAUAUGCCCCUUGCCAAAAAGUAUUUUAUUUUAGUAUGGUCUAUACUUCUCUCAAUCUAUUAGAUCUGAUCUCACUCUUGUGCUUGCGACAUCUUUGUAGAUGCCCCCUGACCAUAACCUUCUUGUCUUUUUGGGAUUCUUUUCUCUUUCGUCCUUAAAUUGCUACCAUCUAGCAAAUUCUAGUCCUUUGGUAUUGACAUGCCUGUAUCCCUUUAAUACUCUUGUUUCAAAUACUUGCCUCUAAGUUUCUACUACCUACUUAGACAUUUUAGUUUAUAUGUCUAUGACCCUUAUGUCUUUUGGGACCCUUUCCUCUUCUGUUGUUAAGUCGCUAUCUUUCGGCAAUUUCUUGUCUCUUGGUAUUGGUAUGCUCAUCUCCUUGAAAUCUUUCAUACUCUCAUCUCUUUUAUGCUUGCCUUUAUAUCCCAAGGUCUGUUUAAGAUAUUUCAUUCUACAUGCCCUUGACCACCCUUGUCUCUUAAUGAUCCAUGAGCGGUCAUUUUAUUUUGCACACUCGUGGUAAUCUCGUUGUUUCCUUGUAACUUCCUUCGAUAAUGAAUUUUUUACUUCAACUCUUCUGUUGGAACCUCACUUAUCUUAUCCCUGAUUGUUUUCUCCAUUUUGUCACUUUGCGAGCCUUGCCUAAACUCUGUCCAUGGAUUACACUUUUCAUCAUUAUCACCUUUAUCCUUAUCACAUCUAUAUUUUACCUUGAUGUUUAUCUUAUACCAGCCUUUAAAAUAUCCUCUUUUCCGUCUCAAUCUGAGCAUCGUACUUUACCUACUUUUCCCUUGGGUGUAUCCUCUUCUUUGUCACCUACGAGUUUUUAACUCUAUCCUUUGUUGUGUUUUUGUUUGUUAUUUCUUUACCCUUCUCAUCACUCUAUCAUGCCUUGUGAUUACAAUAUGUCUGUUUUCUUAAAUCUCCAGUCUCCUAUCUCAAUUUGAGACUGAUGUUUUACUUACCUCACCCUUGGCUAUAUCCUCUUCUUUACCGUGUGUAAGCUUGGGAGCAACUCCAUUCUUUGUUGUACUCAUACCACUGGCUCUUCUAUGCCUUCAUCUUUCUCCUAUACUCUUGUCUGUUGUCGCAUUUGACCCUUGCGAUAUUUAUGUCUUCUACCUAAAUGCUUACCUUGAACUUAUCCUUUAAAAGCCUCACCUUUCUUUCAACCCAAUUUGAGAGUUGCGAGUUACCCAUCUCUCCCUUGAUUUCUUUUCACUUCUUGUCGCCUUACAAGUUUUAUGUUAAUUCCAUCCCUUGUUGUGUUUUUAUUUGCUAUCACCCUCGCCUUGUCGUCCAUCGAUCUUACCCUUGAUACUCAUCUUUAUUCCUAGUUCUUAAAAAAAUCCCCUCUCUUCCACCUCAAUUUGAGAGUGACAAUUUACCUAUCUGGCCCUUGGACGUACCCUCUCCUUUUCCACUUGCAGGUCCUGUCUUAACUCCAUCCUUUAUGGUACUCAUAUCUUUUGUCUUAUGCUUAUUUACCUCCUCUCCUACAUCAUUAUCCGUUAUUACCUUUAAAACCCUCGUGAUAUCUAUGUCCUUACCCUCCUACUUAUCUCGAACCUAUCCUUUGAAGCCUCCUCUUUUCCAUCCCUGUUCGAGGAUAAUGCCUCAUCUAUCUCAUCAUUGACUGCUCCCCUUCUCUAACACCUUGCAAGCUUUUCCUCAAAUACAUACUUUGUUGUGUGUUUGUCCGUUAUCACAUUAACCCUUGUCAUCCCUCGAUCUUUACCUUGAUGCUUAUCAUGUACCCACAUUUUAAAGCUUCCUCUCCCAUUUCAGUUCAAGAGUGUUGUCUUGCCCAUCCCGAUCUUGUUCGUUCCCUUUUCCUCUAUCUCACUGCAAGUCUUGCCUUAACUCGAUCUUUUGGUGUGCUUUUGCCUGUUACCUCCUGUACCUUUGUAAUCACGCGAUCUUUCUAUGAUGCUUAUCUUAUGUCUACCUUUUGAAUUAUCAUCUUUCCCAUCUCAAUUUGAGAAUGGUGUUUACCUACCAUGUCCAUGGUUGCAUUUUCUCCAUUGUCGAUUACAAUCCUUGCUUAAACUCCAUCCAUUAUUGUGCUCGUGUCCCUAUCCUACACGUCUUGUUCUUCUCCUCGUCCUUCGACAACCUUAGAAAUUAGUUAUUCCCUUUUUAGAGAAGACCACCAUCUAUUUAGCAUUAACGUGUAGCAACGAGAUGUUUGUUGUUGUAUGCUUGUGAUAUUUGCCUUUGUGUGAUGAUUGAUUUGCUUCUUUGUGAUGAGUGUUGAUGUGUUGUGGCCCUUAGUCCGCAAUGACAUCAGUUCACUAGGUGAGUGCCAUAUAUUUAAGUAGUUGGGUUCUUCCCCCGCUCUCUCUAAUCCGUCUAUACUUACCUUUUCUCGCUAUUCUUUCCUCUUGCACCUGUCCAGUCAGCGACCUCCAACCUCUCCUAAUCAGUCAAGAUCAGAGUUAGCAACAUCUUCACCAAAUACAUAUCAACGCUCCUGUUAAGGGGGUUAGCCGCUAACCCCAAUGAAGACAAUGUGAUCAACAUCAACAAACAAGAUCAAAGUGAAGCAGCGGAAGCAUGUGUGGGUCCUAACCCACAGGUCCAAGGGAUCCUCAAGAAUUGCAUCGAUCGGUCUCAAGCAUCUAAAGGCCAAAGUAACCAGUCCACAAGUUAAGUUUGUAGAGUCAAAGUCAACUCAAGAAAGCUGUGAACAACCAAUGAACCAAUCUCAUUUUCUUGCUAGCCUCUUCUUGAAUCUCGAGGGCGAGAUUCUGUAAAAGGGGUUAGAUUUGUAACACCCUAAAUUUUGGGGUAUAAAAAUUUCUUUGUUAUAUACUCAAAAUUCAGGUUUUACCCUCUUUCCCUUUUCUUUUGCCUAUAUAGUGGGGAGCUAUUACAUAUAUAUACUGCUAAUUUGAAUAUAAACAUAUGUGUAUUGCAUUUGAUGCCGAAGCCUAGUUUUUUUGUUUGCUAAAAAUAGCCAUGUGGUGUAUCCGUUUAGAAAGAAAAGAAAUAUUAGUUUUGGAUGAUCUAAUAUUAUAUAUAUAUAUAUCCAUAUUCACACAUAUAUAUAAAUAUAUAUGGGGAGAAAAAGGAAUUUAGAAAGAUAAAAAAACAAACCUCUCUUUUCCCAUGACACGGUCUGCAAGGAGGCCAUGGCCAAUCAGGCCACGCGUGUGGCCCCUGCCCACGAACGCAUGCGGCGCAAGCAGCCACCCCCAGCCCGUCGCGCUCGCGGCCCAGCGCGCGGCGCGCUGCUCCCCCAGCCCAUCGCGCGUGCAGUGGAAGCAGGGGCAGCGCCCAAGCCGCCCAGCCAUGCCGGUCGUCCUCCCUAGCGCCCCAGACUUUUUUUGCGUGCGUGGGCGGUUUCGUUGCGCGCGCCGCCUCUUCGUGCCUGGGUGCCGCACGCUCUCAGGCCACUGCGCAGAUCGCCCCCACAGGCGCGGCAAGGCAGGGCCGGGUCUCUGCGCACGGCAGCCGGCCGGCUGCAGCCCCUAGCCGUGGCCAUGGCGGCGGCCAGCCCCAUCCCAGCCGAUCUCGGUCCUCCGGUGAUGCCCCUGCGUCGGUCGAGUGCAAGUCGCCUGCUCUGGAUGACCGCAGAGCUGUCUCGCCCGCACUCGACGUCGCGCUUGGAGCCGUCUCGCUUGCUCAGCCGCUGCCGUCGAGUCUCCCAGCGUGUGCAGCCCCACCUCCACGUUGGCUCGUCGUUGAUCGCCCUCGCCAGUGUGAGUCGCCGAGCCGAGCUCGCUUGCAAAGCAUCGCGCGCCAGAGCAAGCUGUGUCUUGAGCCUCGCCUCGCCGUUCGCCAUCUUCGCAAGGUGAGAAUCCUGCGUCUACCCCUACGCCAAUUAAUUUCCUACUUAGUUGUGAGUCAUUAAAUUGAAUACUCAAUCAAAUCAAUUUACGAUUUUAAUUAUACGAUUGUAAGUACGUG
Molecule: long non-coding RNA, 7318 nt
Filed under: Zea mays
Lineage: Eukaryota; Viridiplantae; Streptophyta; Magnoliopsida; Poales; Poaceae
Description: long non-coding RNA (ZMAY_LNC003006)
Source: RNAcentral